RNAcentral lists this ribosomal RNA (253 nucleotides) under uncultured bacterium. RNAcentral describes it as "partial 16S ribosomal RNA". It matches the Rfam family "Bacterial small subunit ribosomal RNA", at positions 524 to 776 of the family's 1533-position model. The record is from RNAcentral.
GACAGAGGGUGCAAACGUUGUUCGGAAUUACUGGGCGUAAAGCGCGUGUAGGCGGCUAAGUAAGUCGGGCGUGAAGUCCCACGGCUCAACCGUGGAAGUGCACUCGAAACUGCAUAGCUAGAGUCCUGGAGAGGAAGGUGGAAUGCUUGGUGUAGAGGUGAAAUUCGUAGAUAUCAAGCGGAACACCGGUGGCGAAGGCGGCCUUCUGGACAGUGACUGACGCUGAGACGCGAAAGCGUGGGGAGCAAACAGG